UACGUAGGGUGCAAGCGUUGUCCGGAAUUACUGGGCGUAAAGAGCUCGUAGGUGGUUUGUCGCGUUGUUCGUGAAAACUCACAGCUCAACUGUGGGCGUGCGGGCGAUACGGGCAGACUUGAGUACUGCAGGGGAGACUGGAAUUCCUGGUGUAGCGGUGAAAUGCGCAGAUAUCAGGAGGAACACCGGUGGCGAAGGCGGGACUCUGGGCCGAUACUGACGCUGAGGAGCGAAAGCGUGGGGAGCAAACAGG
This 253-nucleotide ribosomal RNA is filed under the name uncultured bacterium. RNAcentral's name for it is "partial 16S ribosomal RNA". It matches the Rfam family "Bacterial small subunit ribosomal RNA", at positions 524 to 776 of the family's 1533-position model. The record is from RNAcentral.